AACCUUAGGAUCAUAAAAUGAAAACUUCCCUCAAAUCCCACACGAACGCACGACAAUCAUUGGAACCUCGACGACGCAUUCGAUCAAAUCAAUUUCUUCCUUCCUCCUUCGUCCAUUUCGCGGUCGAUCGAUGACGGAGCUUUAAUUGCGCCCCGAUUCAAUCCCUCGCCAAUCGCAAUCGAAAUCCACGAGUAGAAAUCGUAGUCGUCGUCGGAGGGGAUUAAAUGUUGCAGAGACCUCGGCGCCGCUGCGAGGGCACUGCCAUGGGCGCAAUCGUCCUCGAUCUCCGGCCUGGCCUGGGCAUCGGCCCCUUUUCCCUCGGUAUGCCAAUCUGUGAGGCAUUUGCCCAAAUCGAGCAGCAGCCGAAUAUAUACGAUGUUGUCCAUGUGAAGUACUAUGAUGAGGAUCCCCUGAAGCUGGACAUUGUUAUUAGUUUCCCAGAUCACGGUUUUCAUCUUCGUUUUGAUCCUUGGUCACAGAGGUUACAUCUUAUUGAAAUUUUUGAUGUCAAGAGGCUUCAAAUGCGCUAUUCCAAUUCUUUGAUUGGGGGACCAUCUACUCUGGCUACAUUUGUUGCUGUAUAUGCACUUUUUGGUCCGACCUUUCCUGGCAUCUAUGACAAGGAUAGAGGUGUCUACACACUGUUUUAUCCGGGACUAUCCUUUGCUUUUCCUAUCCCAAGCCAGUAUACGGAUUGCUGCCAUGAUGGGGAAGCGGAACUACCACUGGAGUUUCCAGAUGGCACCACUCCAGUGACAUGCCGGGUUUCUAUAUAUGACAGUUCCACAGACAAGAAAGUGGGUGUGGGAUCUUUAAUGGAUAAGGCUUCGGUUCCUCCAUUACCCUCUGGUAGUCUUUACAUGGAAGAGGUCCAUGUUAAGCUUGGAGAAGAACUGCAUUUUACUGGUGGUGGUCAGCGCAUUCCUUUUGGUGCCUCUCCUCAGGAUGUGUGGACUGAAUUAGGUCGUCCCUGUGGAAUCCACCAAAAACAGGUGGACCAAAUGGUUAUUCACUCUGCUUCAGAUCCACGACCUCGAACUACCCUUUGUGGGGAUUACUUCUACAAUUAUUUUGCCCGUGGAUUGGAUAUCCUAUUUGAUGGCCAGACCCAUAAAAUUAAGAAGUUUGUUCUGCACACAAACUAUCCAGGGCAUGCAGAUUUCAACACAUACAUAAAGUGCAAUUUUAUCGUCUAUGGUUCUGAUCUUGGGGAGUCUUACCAGGAAGGAAAUGAUCCUGCGCAGCGGAUUACCCCGAGUACAAAAUGGGAACAAGUGAAGGACAUCCUUGGUGAUUGUGGUCGAGCUGCCAUACAAACUCAAGGAUCUACUAGCAACCCAUUUGGUUCUACUUUUGUGUAUGGCCAUCAAAAUGUUGCAUUUGAGGUCAUGAAAAAUGGGUAUAUUGCAACUGUAACUCUCUUCCAAUCUUGACGUGUCAUAAGACCUAGGCAGAAUUGUAAAUGUAUGGAAACAUCCUGAAGCUGCUAAAAAGCCCCUCGCCGCCACUCUAAAGACCGACUAGGGAUAUGAACUUCUCCAAACGAGCGAUCUUCGAAACGAAGCACUCGUGGUGGUGAACCAGCUGGAUCUUGUACAGGGGAACGGCACUGUGGGUGGAAGAUUUACUUGUACAUACAAAUGUAUCAAAAUUGUACAGAUGACCUAUUUUAGUCUCGUCGCUGUUGUAUGUCCUACAUGACAAGCUCAAGCAAAGGCCAGUUGUAACUUUAUAAACUAUUUCGGAACUUUCUAAACGAACGUGGUAGUGCGGUUUGUUGAGUCAUCCUAUUAUUCAAAAGGUGGUGUUCAUAA
This is a non-coding RNA of Punica granatum (pomegranate), 1814 nucleotides long. The record is from RefSeq and is a predicted model, not a curated record. NCBI's taxonomy places the organism in Eukaryota, Viridiplantae, Streptophyta, Magnoliopsida, Myrtales, Lythraceae.